UGUGGGAGCUGGCUUGCCUGCGAUGCAGACAACUGGGUGUACCAAGCAAACCCAGUCGAUGCCAUCGCAGGCAAGCCAGCUCCCACA
Molecule: unclassified non-coding RNA, 87 nt
Filed under: Pseudomonas sp. bs2935
Lineage: Bacteria; Pseudomonadati; Pseudomonadota; Gammaproteobacteria; Pseudomonadales; Pseudomonadaceae
Source: RNAcentral